RNAcentral lists this ribosomal RNA (252 nucleotides) under uncultured Bacteroidales bacterium. RNAcentral describes it as "partial 16S ribosomal RNA". It matches the Rfam family "Bacterial small subunit ribosomal RNA", at positions 524 to 776 of the family's 1533-position model. Lineage: Bacteria; Pseudomonadati; Bacteroidota; Bacteroidia; Bacteroidales. The record is from RNAcentral.
UACGGAGGAUGCGAGCGUUAUCCGGAUUUAUUGGGUUUAAAGGGUGCGUAGGCGGAAUAUCAAGUCAGCGGUAAAAAUUCGGGGCUCAACCCCGUCGUGCCGUUGAAACUGAUGUUCUUGAGUGGGCGAGAAGUAUGCGGAAUGCGUGGUGUAGCGGUGAAAUGCAUAGAUAUCACGCAGAACACCGAUUGCGAAGGCAGCUUGCUAGGCCGGAUCUGACACUGAUGCACGAAAGCGUGGGUAUCGAACAGG